This 498-nucleotide ribosomal RNA is filed under the name uncultured bacterium. Its description in RNAcentral is "partial 16S ribosomal RNA". It matches the Rfam family "Bacterial small subunit ribosomal RNA", at positions 28 to 507 of the family's 1533-position model. The record is from RNAcentral.
GACGAACGCUGGCGGCGUGCCUAAUACAUGCAAGUCGUGCGGACCUUUUAAAAGCUUGCUUUUAAAAGGUUAGCGGCGGACGGGUGAGUAACACGUGGGCAACCUGCCUGUAAGACUGGGAUAACGCCGGGAAACCGGGGCUAAUACCGGAUCGUAUUUCCUCCGCCUGGAGGAAAAAGGAAAAGCGGCUUCUGCUGCCACUUACAGAUGGGCCCGCGGCGCAUUAGCUAGUUGGUGGGGUAACGGCCCACCAAGGCAACGAUGCGUAGCCGACCUGAGAGGGUGAUCGGCCACAUUGGGACUGAGACACGGCCCAAACUCCUACGGGAGGCAGCAGUAGGGAAUCUUCCGCAAUGGACGAAAGUCUGACGGGGCAACGCCGCGUGAGUGAAGAAGGCCUUCGGGUCGGAAAACUCUGUUGCCGGGGAAGAACAAGUGCCGUUCGAACAGGGCGGCGCCUUGACGGUACCCGGCCAGAAAGCCACGGCUAACUACGUG